GAUGAACGCUGGCGGCGUGCCUAAUACAUGCAAGUCGAGCGAACAGACGAGGAGCUUGCUCCUCUGAUGUUAGCGGCGGACGGGUGAGUAACACGUGGAUAACCUACCUAUAAGACUGGGAUAACUUCGGGAAACCGGAGCUAAUACCGGAUAACAUGUUGAACCGCAUGGCUCAACAGUGAAAGACGGUCUUGCUGUCACUUAUAGAUGGAUCCGCGCCGCAUUAGCUAGUUGGUAAGGUAACGGCUUACCAAGGCAACGAUGCGUAGCCGACCUGAGAGGGUGAUCGGCCACACUGGAACUGAGACACGGUCCAGACUCCUACGGGAGGCAGCAGUAGGGAAUCUUCCGCAAUGGGCGAAAGCCUGACGGAGCAACGCCGCGUGAGUGAAGAAGGUCUUCGGAUCGUAAAACUCUGUUAUUAGGGAAGAACAGAUGUGUAAGUAACUAUGCACGUCUUGACGGUACCUAAUCAGAAAGCCACGGCUAACUACGUG
RNAcentral lists this ribosomal RNA (497 nucleotides) under uncultured bacterium. RNAcentral's name for it is "partial 16S ribosomal RNA". It matches the Rfam family "Bacterial small subunit ribosomal RNA", at positions 28 to 507 of the family's 1533-position model. The record is from RNAcentral.